AUAACGGUGUCUUUCGACACCACCUCUUCUUGAAAUCAUUAGCUCU
This is a non-coding RNA of Picea glauca (white spruce), 46 nucleotides long. The record is from Rfam. NCBI's taxonomy places the organism in Eukaryota, Viridiplantae, Streptophyta, Pinopsida, Pinales, Pinaceae.